GACGAACGCUGGCGGCGUGCUUAACACAUGCAAGUCGAACGGAAAGGCCCUGCUUUUGUGGGGUGCUCGAGUGGCGAACGGGUGAGUAACACGUGAGUAACCUGCCCUUGACUUUGGGAUAACUUCAGGAAACUGGAGCUAAUACCGGAUAGGAGCUCCUGCUGCAUGGUGGGGGUUGGAAAGUUUCGGCGGUUGGGGAUGGACUCGCGGCUUAUCAGCUUGUUGGUGGGGUAGUGGCUUACCAAGGCUUUGACGGGUAGCCGGCCUGAGAGGGUGACCGGCCACAUUGGGACUGAGAUACGGCCCAGACUCCUACGGGAGGCAGCAGUGGGGAAUAUUGCACAAUGGGCGGAAGCCUGAUGCAGCAACGCCGCGUGCGGGAUAACGGCCUUCGGGUUGUAAACCGCUUUCGCCUGUGACGAAGCGUGAGUGACGGUAAUGGGUAAAGAAGCACCGGCUAACUACGUG
This 468-nucleotide ribosomal RNA is filed under the name uncultured bacterium. RNAcentral describes it as "partial 16S ribosomal RNA". It matches the Rfam family "Bacterial small subunit ribosomal RNA", at positions 28 to 507 of the family's 1533-position model. The record is from RNAcentral.